RNAcentral lists this ribosomal RNA (499 nucleotides) under uncultured bacterium. Its description in RNAcentral is "partial 16S ribosomal RNA". It matches the Rfam family "Bacterial small subunit ribosomal RNA", at positions 28 to 507 of the family's 1533-position model. The record is from RNAcentral.
GACGAACGCUGGCGGCGUGCCUAAUACAUGCAAGUCGAGCGAAGUUUUUCUGGUGCUUGCACCGGAAAAACUUAGCGGCGAACGGGUGAGUAACACGUAAAGAACCUGCCUCAUAGACUGGGACAACUAUUGGAAACGAUAGCUAAUACCGGAUAAUAGCAUUAACUGCAUGGUUGAUGUUUAAAAGUUGGUUUUGCUAACACUAUGAGAUGGCUUUGCGGUGCAUUAGCUAGUUGGUGGGGUAAAGGCCUACCAAGGCGACGAUGCAUAGCCGACCUGAGAGGGUGAUCGGCCACACUGGGACUGAGACACGGCCCAGACUCCUACGGGAGGCAGCAGUAGGGAAUCUUCCGCAAUGGGCGAAAGCCUGACGGAGCAACGCCGCGUGAGUGAAGAAGGAUUUCGGUUCGUAAAGCUCUGUUGUUAGGGAAGAAGGAUUGUGUAGUAACUAUACACAGUAGAGACGGUACCUAAACAGAAAGCCACGGCUAACUACGUG